Molecule: long non-coding RNA, 2951 nt
Filed under: Felis catus (domestic cat)
Lineage: Eukaryota; Metazoa; Chordata; Mammalia; Carnivora; Felidae
Description: lncRNA (ENSFCAG00000046855.1)
Source: RNAcentral
AGGACUAUGUUGUCCAAAGCUGGUAAUAGGGCAGGUAAGUCUUUCUAAACCUGAAGUUCAGGAUUAGUGAGUCCAUUUUCAAAAAAUCAGCUUUAUCAAUGAGAAAAUUGAUAAUUUGUUUUCCAUCCAUCUUACUGUAUUGUUUUUCAGUAGUUCAGACUCAGCUGAGGAAGACAAAUACCCCUUGUUUGAGUCUCCUAAAUGCCCCCCAAACUCACAACUCACAAUACAAGAGGUGGUACACAUCUGCCUUUUCUAAGUCAAAGGAAAGCAAGACAAACCUAGGUCUCCAAAGGCUUGGAAUAAAGUAUUGUGGAUAUAAACUCAGCAAAAUUAAACUCAGCCAUUAGGUUAGUUUCUUGUGGCUACUAUAACAAAUAACCACAAACUCAAUGACUUGAAGCAACAGAAAUUUAUCCUCUCAUUACUCUAGAGGACAGAAGUUCAAAAUCAGUUUCACUGGAUCUAAAGCAGGGAGCCAGCAGGGCCAUGCCCCGUUGCAAGACUCCAAGGGAGAAUCUGGUCCUUGCCUCUUCCAGCUUCUGGUGAUUGCUGGCUCUCCUUGUUAAUGGCUUCAUCUCUCCAGUUUGCCUCCGUGGUCACAUUGCCUCUUCCUCUUCUUUGUGGGUCACAUCUCCUUCUGUCUCUCUUUUAUAAGGAUAAAUGUGACUGCAUUUAGGGCCCACUCUGAUAAUCUUGGAAAAUCUCUUCAUCUCAAAAUCCUCGAUUUAAUCACCUACAAAGGUCAUUUUUCUAUCUAAGGUAACAUUUGUAGAUUCUAAGAAUUAGGACCUGGUAUCUUUGGGGGACAAUUUUUAUCUACCACACAAAUUCAAUAGUCACAGAUAAGUAUCAUUUCUUUCUCCCCCUUCUCUAUAUUCUGAAAUUUUACAAUUUAGGAUUUUAAAAUACAUAAUUUAAUAUUACAGUCUUAGAGAAUCAAAACAGUAAAUUCAUUCUAGAGUUGCACCACCCAAAUGAUAUUUAGAAAAAAUAUAUCAUAAGGUGAUCACGUUUUCUGUGCAUGUGUAUGAAUUGUCAGAUUUUCAAAUACAUACCAUGUGAUUUUCUUCCUGAAGUGUUGUAGAGUAUAAACUUAAAAAUGUAAAUGAUGUCCACAUAUAUCAUUAGCAUUUUAAAUUCAGGACCAAAGUUAUCCAUAAACCUAUUUUCAAAAUCCUGGUUGAAGCAUUUGCUAAAACAGUUCAAGAAUUGGGUCUUUUGUUCUUUAUACAGAGUAUAUGAUGGAAUUAUUCAUAUCUCUGAUAGGAAUUUGGAAUUUUAUCAUUAAAUUAUAAAAAACACUCACCUUUCAGCUAAGAACCAUUGGCUUCUUAGAUAUACUCAAUGUCAUUUUACUCUUUCUACUUUUUUUUUUUUUUUUUUUUUUUAGCAGGCACAUAGCUUCUACUAAAGCAUUCUCACUAGCUAAGAAACUCAAGACCAUAAGUGCAAUGUUUCAGUUAGGGAAGGCUAUGCUGUGAUCACAUAUACACCUCCAAAUUUAGUGUCUCACGGAACAAGUUAGCAGAUCAGGAUGGGAGUUCCAGGUCAGGGACAGCCCAGCUCUAUGCAGUCAUUCAGGGGAUCAGGAUGACAAAGCUUCCAUCAUCCUUUCAAGGUGGCUGUGGUCACCUCCCUCCCAGGAAGCCAGAAGAUAAAAAUGCAAAAGCACACCAUUACAAGAACUCGAGCUCCUGGCAACACACCAAGCUGCAAGGAAGAGUAGGAAAUAGAGUUUAGCUGUGUGCUUGAGAAGAACAGGGGAAGGGAUUUUGGUGAACAGCUUACAGUCUUUGCCACAUGCACCAUACAAAUUUCUGCCGCAACAAAAUUAAAGAUAACUUAUGUAAGUAGUAAUCAUGGGCCUUUAAGGUUAUUACAAGCAUUCACACCUGUGAACAAUAAGGAUUUAUUCUUCUCAAACAACUAUUUAUGCUUAAUCUCAGUAGGGAAGGGAAAAAGGAAAGAAAUGGUUUAUUUUCUUUUAGUUAUCUUGUGUAUUAGCUCAUAUAAAUUGUCUCAAAUGAUGGUAGCUCAGUCUUUUUUCUAAGUAAAUUUCAGUAUUCUACAAUAUAUGUUGCGAAGCUUUUCUUUCCUCAGUUCUUCAGUCAAUUGAGGAAGGAAAUAGGCCAAGGAAGUUAAACUUCUUUUCUCAAGGGGCCUAACUAUUGGCCCAGGCUGGGUUCCAAGAGCUGAAACAAGGAGCAGUAACUGGUGGGGCUGUCCUUUCCCCCAAUGAAGAGAAGAAAAGAAGAAUUCCAAGUCUGUUUCCCAGGCACAGGAAGGACCAGGAAGCAAGGAAAUUUCCAAUUUUCAAGUCCACUGAGCAGAAUACAAGAAGAACAGGGUCCAAAACAAAGAGUUCUCCUUUGAGAACCGGCAAGAUGGAGUAAUCAAGCCUUGCAAGCAGGCUGAGCCUGGAAAGGAGCCCAGAAGCAAUGGCAUUCUUGGGAGUGAAGUUUCUCUGGACCCUUAGGGAGCUGAGACUUUGACAUUCCAACCCUGCCUUCAGCUUGAGAUUUGUCCACCCCCUUCAUUUGGAGAAGAGCAAUCUGAAGCUAAACCACUCACAUUAUGAAAAUGCUGAUCCGUAGCACCGUCUUGAAAGGAAACUAAAACAAAACAAAACUUUACAAACAUAAUGAGUAGAACCACCUGUAGGACUAUGAGAAAUUAGCUUUCAUAGAAAAAAGGUGUUAUGGCAAGGCUUGAGAAUCAAGCAUAGUAAAUCUGAAUUAAAAAGAGUUUGAUUUCGGGGUGCCUGGGUGGCUCAGUCGGUUAGACAAUUGACUCUUGAUUUUGGUUCAGGCCAUGAUCUCACAAUUCAUGAGAUGGAGCCUGGUGAUGGGCCCCACACUGACAGCACAGGGCCUGCUUGGGAUUCUCUUUCCCUCCCUCUCUCUCUCAAACUAAAUAAAUAAACAUUAAAAAAAAAAAAAAAAAAGAGU